CUACACUAUGACAUAGAAUAUGUGUAUUCCUCAUCCGAGUUGAACCAGGAUAUUGAAACGCAGGCCGAAGCCGAUCCACUCUGCUCCGCCCCGCUUGACAGAAAGGAAGAGGCACCGGAAGGACACGGCGAAUUAGAAACUGGAGCUGAGCUAUUCGAUAUCUACGGUGAGCAAGAACUGUCUGAACCUGAGCCGGAUUCUGAACCAGAAGUGAUUGAGAGUCAGCCAGCUCCACCUUCUAAAACAAGCAAAACCGUCAUUGCCGUAAGCAAAAAAGUAGGUCGCUUUUCAACUCUAUUCUUCUUUUUAUUUGUGCCUUUCUCGUACAAGAAAGUUGUACCGGGAUGUUUUAAUUUCACUCAAAAUACGGGCUUUUUAUAUGAGUUUCUGAUCCAUACUAUUAUAUGUACUUAUCUAUAGAG
Armigeres subalbatus is the source of this 422-nucleotide long non-coding RNA. RefSeq lists it as uncharacterized. The record is from RefSeq and is a predicted model, not a curated record. Lineage: Eukaryota; Metazoa; Arthropoda; Insecta; Diptera; Culicidae. The transcript has 3 exons.